RNAcentral lists this ribosomal RNA (460 nucleotides) under uncultured bacterium. Its description in RNAcentral is "partial 16S ribosomal RNA". It matches the Rfam family "Bacterial small subunit ribosomal RNA", at positions 338 to 795 of the family's 1533-position model. The record is from RNAcentral.
CCUACGGACGGCAGCAGUGAGGAAUAUUGGUCAAUGGGCGCGAGCCUGAACCCGCCAAGUAGCGUGAAGGAUGCCUGCCCUACGGGUUGUAAACUUCUUUUAUAAAGGCAUCAAGUGAGGCACGUGUGCCUUUUUUUAUGUACUUUAUGAAUAAGGAUCGGCUAACUCCGUGCCAGCAGCCGCGGUAAUACGGAGGAUCCGAGCGUUAUCAGGAUUUAUUGGGUUUAAAGGGAGCGUAGAUGGGUUGUUAAGUCAGUUGUGAAAGUUUGCGGCUCAACCGUAAAAUUGCAAUUGAUACUGGCAGUCGUGAGUACAGUUGAGGUAGGCGGAAUUCGUGGUGUAGCGGUGAAAUGCUUAGAUAUCACGAAGAACUCCGAGUGCGAAGGCAGCUUACUAAACUGCCACUGACAUUGAUGCUCGAAAGUGUGGGUAUCAAACAGGAGUAGAUACCCCAGUAGUC